This is a long non-coding RNA of Telopea speciosissima, 188 nucleotides long. RefSeq lists it as uncharacterized. Lineage: Eukaryota; Viridiplantae; Streptophyta; Magnoliopsida; Proteales; Proteaceae. The transcript has 3 exons. The record is from RefSeq and is a predicted model, not a curated record.
UAUUUUGAUAAAACAACAUCUUGAAUUUUGAAAUAGAUGGGAAUUAAUAUUGUACCAUAGGUUCAUAACAAAUUCUCACCACCUGCACAACCAUAACAGUUUCAUUCGCAAGAAAUAAAUAAUUAAACAACAAAAUGAAAAGAAGAUCUGGUUGGAGCAGGGGGGAAAAUAACAAUAAUAAAAAUAAU